CCAGACUCCUACGGGAGGCAGCAGUGAGGAAUAUUGGGCAAUGGAGGCAACUCUGACCCAGCCAUGCCGCGUGAGUGAAGAAGGUUUUCGGAUUGUAAAGCUCUUUCGGAUGUGACGAUGAUGACGGUAGCAUCUAAAGAAGCCCCGGCUAACUACGUGCCAGCAGCCGCGGUAAUACGUAGGGGGCAAGCGUUAUCCGGAAUCACUGGGUGUAAAGGGAGCGUAGACGGCUGUGCAAGCCUGAAGUGAAAGGCGGGGGCCCAACCCCUGGACUGCUUUGGGAACUGUACGGCUGGAGUGCAGGAGAGGUAAGUGGAAUUCCUAGUGUAGCGGUGAAAUGCGUAGAUAUUAGGAGGAACACCAGUGGCGAAGGCGGCUUACUGGACUGUAACUGACGUUGAGGCUCGAAAGCGUGGGGAGCAAACAGGAUUAGAUACCCCCGUA
Molecule: ribosomal RNA, 444 nt
Filed under: uncultured bacterium
Lineage: Bacteria
Description: bacterial SSU rRNA
Rfam family: Bacterial small subunit ribosomal RNA
Source: RNAcentral